This 495-nucleotide ribosomal RNA is filed under the name uncultured bacterium. RNAcentral describes it as "partial 16S ribosomal RNA". It matches the Rfam family "Bacterial small subunit ribosomal RNA", at positions 28 to 507 of the family's 1533-position model. The record is from RNAcentral.
GACGAACGCUGGCGGCGUGCCUAAUACAUGCAAGUCGAACGCUGAAGGAGGAGCUUGCUUCUCUGGAUGAGUUGCGAACGGGUGAGUAACGCGUAGGUAACCUGCCUGGUGGCGGGGGAUAACUAUUGGAAACGAUAGCUAAUACCGCAUAAGAGUAGAUGUUGCAUGACAUUUGCUUAAAAGGUGCAAUUGCAUCACUACCAGAUGGACCUGCGUUGUAUUAGCUAGUUGGUGGGGUAACGGCUCACCAAGGCGACGAUACAUAGCCGACCUGAGAGGGUGAUCGGCCACACUGGGACUGAGACACGGCCCAGACUCCUACGGGAGGCAGCAGUAGGGAAUCUUCGGCAAUGGACGGAAGUCUGACCGAGCAACGCCGCGUGAGUGAAGAAGGGUUUCGGAUCGUAAAGCUCUGUUGUAAGAGAAGAACGAGUGUGAGAGUGGAAAGUUCACACUGUGACGGUAGCUUACCAGAAAGGGACGGCUAACUACGUG